This 193-nucleotide unclassified non-coding RNA is filed under the name uncultured fungus. RNAcentral's name for it is "sequence contains ITS1". The record is from RNAcentral. Lineage: Eukaryota; Fungi.
CCGAGAUAGGGUCCCUCUGGGGCCCGACCUCCAACCCUUUGUCAAGAUAACCUUUGUUGCCUCGGUGGGACGUCGAAUGCCUGUCAUCAGGCCUAGCCGUCGGCACCCCUCACGGGGACCCUCGAGCGCCCACCGGUGGACCCCAUGAAACCAUCUCUGAAACUAGAUCUCUGAGUGGAAUUUUAAUACUUCA